Molecule: ribosomal RNA, 360 nt
Filed under: Triticum aestivum (bread wheat)
Lineage: Eukaryota; Viridiplantae; Streptophyta; Magnoliopsida; Poales; Poaceae
Description: partial small subunit ribosomal RNA
Source: RNAcentral
AUGGACCAUUUCCGUAUGGCGGCUUCCCAACCCAACAAACCAACAAUGAAGGAGGAUGGCGAAGAUGAGAUGGCGGGAUGGUGGGAGAAGGCUGCGAAGAAGCUUAGAGAGGAGGAUGCAGCCAAGCUAAAGAAGAAAAAGGAAGAGGAGCUUGAGGAGAAGAGGAAGGAAGAAGAGAGAGCGUCAAAUGCGAUGCGCGCUAGGGAGCAAGCAUUGGUGAGGAAAUGUGAGGAGGCACGGAAGAAGCGUCAAAAGGAUUUUGAAGAAGGAACCAUGAAGCUUUGGGCAAUUGCAGCUGGAAAAAAAAGAGGGAGGAAAAGAUAUUCAUGGAGAGGGUGGUUAAGGAGGCCCACCUCAUAA